CCAUUUGUAGCGCGAGAAAGGAUCUGAUAGAGGACCUCAAGCAUAGCGAGUUCUUUUUGUUGCUUUCCUCCUCUCUGUUACUGGAAAUACGUGCUACAGGAAGCAAGCAGCCAUCACUGAGUGUGCUCUAACUCCUGUUUUACAAAGGGAGAAGAUGGAGUUCAUCAGUAUGUUACUUUUCUUGCUACAAGUUUCAAGUGCAGCAAGACGACGCAUUCAAGUGACUGGUGAGGCUGGAGGAUCCAUCACCAUAAAGUGUCCUGUGAAGGGCAUUUCCAGUCGAAAAUUCUGGUGCAGGGAGCUCGAGACAGGGAUCUGUGGCACCAUCAUCUCCACCUCACCAUACAUCAGUGAGAAUUACAGGAAUAGAAUCUCCAUCACUGAGGAGCCUCAGGAAGGAAUAUUUCAAAUUACAAUCACAGGACUGGAAGAGGAUGACACUGGGCUGUACACGUGUGGGACAGGAUAUCUAAAUGACAGAGGCAGUGGAAGGACCCUCCAAGUGGAGCUGAAUGUUUCUAACGGGAAUGUUCCACCCAGAACGGGCAUGUUGUCUGCUGAACCUCUGAGACGUGACAGACCUAUUGUGGUACCAGCAGAGUCUGGCAACAAAGGUGCUGACGCUCAAGGAGUCACACAACCACAGAUGAUUAAUGGAGCAUGGGCAAAAUAUACCUCCUAUGCUGUGCCUGGCAUCAAAUUCCCCCAAAGUAUGAUAAUCACACCUGCAGACAUAAUUGGCAGCACUGUUACCAAUGCAGUGUCUGGAAGUACAACAAAGGGGAUUCCAAAGAAUUCCAGGACAAUCAGCUAUGCACAUCCCAGGCAUACAAAGCGACUCUUGAGAAGCAAUUAUGGGAAUGAUGUCUUUCAAAUCCUGAUACCAGUUCUCCUGAUAAUGCUGCUGCUUGUGCCAUCUAUGAUAAUUAUUAGAAAACAGCUACGAGGGAAGAAAGCAGCUUCCAGUGAAACCUAUGGAAUAAAUCUGAGGCUGAGUGCACUCGAACAUGGCCACGGGCACGUUCCAAUGGAAAAUAUCUACAGCGUGUUACCCCGCAGGCUUCAGGGAGCUGACAGGAACAGCUUGGCUAUUCAGAGGAUAUUUCCAAGUUUCCAAAACCCUGUAAUAGUUACAUCAUCUUGGCAGGAAGGCAACAUGCCUGUGGGUUAGAGCACUGGAUUGGGAUGCAGGAUACUUUUGUUCUAUUCCCAGCUCUGUCACUGGUCUACUGGGUGACCUUGGGCAAGUCACCUCCUCUAUCAGUACCUCAGUUGCCCCAGCUGUAAAAUAGGGCUAAUGAAUGCCUCGUUUGUAAAGUGCUUUGAGCUCUACUGUAUAAACGUUAUGAUGCUGCUGAUUAUGUGUUUCCAACCACCAAGGCACACUACUGCCAGGAAUCUUUACUGAGAGCCAAGAGUUGCUUCAGAUGAACUCAUUAGACUGUGUUCCCGCUACAAUACAAAGUUGUUCUGGCUCUCUUAGACCACUUUAAAAAACAACAACUAGAGAAUAAGCUCAGGCUCCAUCAACCCUAAAGGCAGGAUUUUCAGAAGCACCCAGGUCACUUAGGUACACCGGUUCCACUGGAUGUCAGUGGGAUUGUGUGAGGAAGAUUUUUCAAAGCCACACACAGCAGUAAGAUGUUGUGCUCCCUAACAAUGCCUUUUAAAAUAGUGUCAGUGGCCAUCUCUGCCUGUGGUACUAAGGCCUGUGCUACAUUUAUACUUUUUAUGACAUAACUACAUUGACGAGAGGUGUGAUUUUUUUUUUUUUUGCCAAAAUAGUUUUAUCUCAUAACCCUGCUCAGGGGCAGUGGAAACUGGCAGGGAUCCAUUCCUGCGUAAACUCACACUCAGAGUGGGGCACAGAGAUUAGAGCAGGACCCAGAGGGGCUGGAGCAGCUGCUUUGGGACCCGGGAAGAAGCUGUGGAGCAGAGAGUAGGAUUUGGAGGGGGCUGGAGCAGCUGUCGUGGAGACUGGGACUGGGACUGGGACUGGGUUGGGACGAAGGGCAUGGGAUACAAAGGAGCUGGAGCAGGUACCUUGGCACCUUGGAUCAGUCCAGGGAGCAACCCCCGGGAUUCUCCUGCCCAUCCUGGAUCAUCUCCUCCCCUGCCCUGCUGAAUCUCACUACCUCUCCUCAUACCCCCUUCUGUCCAUGCAACCCCUUUUGUGGGCAGUUAUUUCAGUAUAAGGUAACUUUACCAGUAUAACCCUUUCCUGUUUAUAGGACUCUGCAGUGCAAAAGGCUGAGAAUCUAUUCCACUCCAUCUAGUCAUAACGGAGCUGUGUUCUCAUGUACCUUGUGACUCAUAUCACUGCAGAGUUGACUUAUAAGAGCUGCUGUGACUGCACAUUGGUCACCAGUCACAGCUGAGGAAGGACUUGAGGCACACGCAAAGCCGUAACCAAUCAGCACCUGAACCCUACAUAUCAAAGCAUUACUUUGAUGCUGAGACCACACUGCUCUGCAGAAGCUGGUCUACAUGCUUUCUCUGCACAAAGGUCUAAUGCUAAGUUUACAAAGGUACAGUGGAUUUGCUGUGGUUGUUUAAAGGUGAUUUUUUCUAGUUUGCUCUGCAGUUCUUGGGCUUGUUCUGCAGAGCUUGGUCUGUACAGAUGGUUGCCAAAACACGCAGGUUCAGGUAAACAAUUAUAAGCAGAGGUAAACUUUUCCCCUCAAUAUUUAUUGACUAUGGAUGAUGAUUUCUGUUAUGCAGAGGGCCAGUGCAGGACCUACACACCACUUAAAUCCUCAAAUUAGGUUAAGAGACUGGAGUGUUGUCCUGGUUUUGUGCUUUUUGCACACAAAUGGAUUUCACCCUAUGAGCUCAUUGGCAUUUUGAUAUAGCGUUAAAGCUCAUCUUCAUUGUCAGCUUGAACUAGGUGAAUAUAGUUGGCAAUCCAGUGCCCAGAAAAAGAAGAAGGAGAAUUGUUUUGCAAAAAUUUCUCAUGUUUCAUCAAAUGCAUUUUUUGUGCUAAAUUUCUGAUCAGCUGUGAAACUGGCUGGAAAACAGAGGGUUUGGGUUUUUUUCCCCUUUCCAAAUACUUUAUACACAUUUUUCAUUCAAAUAAAUAAAAAUGUUUUGGAGAAAUUUUUGGGCGAGUGCUUAUUGUUAUUGAGACUAUGGGCCUGAUCCCAAUUUAACACUGAUGUAAAUCCAUAGAUAUUAGUGAAGUUACAUUUAAUUCCAACGUGUUACCCUUUCUGCUUAACAAUCUGUCCCAAUUGAGAUUCAGUUCCAACACUCCGCUUCCUUCCCCAGGUCUAAAGAAGAACUUGAUGUAGCUUGUACCUUCUACCAGCAGAAAUUGGUCCAAUAGAAGAUAUUACCUUACUCAGGGUGUCUCACUUUUAAUUUAUAGCAGUAUAAGUGAAUUCAGAUUCAGACCCUAAACUACUAUCAGAGACCUAGAGAGGUCCCUCCGUGUAUACCCCUACUAGUGAGGUGGGGUGGGGGAGCUUAUACUGCUACAGUCCAGGGAGAAGGUAUCAUCCCAGACUACUUCACAGUGACCUUCAGCGUGGUUCUGGAUCCUGUUCUUUAGUCACCAUUCCCUUCCAUGACUUUGGAUUCCUGGCCAGGACUUACUAUGACCCCCAUGUGGGUACACUGGACAGAAUGGGCUGUGUUUGUCUGGGAGUGAAAGACAACCACAGGCCCAUCUGUGUAGCUUCAAGAAGGAAUCCUCUUUAUAUUGCUCAUGGCUAAAUCCUGUCUAUUCUGCAGACCGGAGGACAAUACAGA
Gopherus evgoodei (Goodes thornscrub tortoise) is the source of this 3750-nucleotide RNA transcript. It is a transcript of the gene named Fc fragment of IgM receptor, with no coding region annotated. The transcript is spliced from 8 exons. The record is from RefSeq and is a predicted model, not a curated record. Lineage: Eukaryota; Metazoa; Chordata; Testudines; Testudinidae.